UUUAGAGCUAUAAAGCCGCCGUGGAGCUAAAUCCAGAUCAAGCACAGGCCUGGAUGAACAUGGGUGGAAUCCAACACAUCAAGGGAAACUAUGUGUCCGCAAGAGCUUAUUACGAGAGAGCUUUCCAGCUGGUUCCAGAUAGCAAACUGCUGCAGGAAAAUCUCGCCAAGUUGGAUCGCCUAGAGAAACGAUUACAAGAAGUUCGAGAAAAGGAUCAAACGUAGCAGCGUUUGACCCAGUCUUGAAGAACAGUGCUGGUGCCUCUGGAAGCGGAAGAAGAGAUGGAGGCUUUCACCUCAGCAGGGGCACAACAGAGAAGCCUUCCGCUCGCUCGCUCUGAGUUCAGGGAGGCAUGUUUUGGGACGCCCGCUGGUAACCCUGUGCUGAGGGACUCGCAUUUCCCUGGAAGAAGAAAGAGCAAGCAAGGGCUAGGUCUGAGAGAAAGUAAAACAACUACUACGCAUUUUGCAGAUUUUUGUUGGCUUUAAUAAAUAACAGGUUUCCCUUCAUCUAUUUCUCUGCUUUUCCAACCUAAGAAUCUAAUUCCAUCUCUUAGUGUAGACUUUUAUGUCCCAGAAAUACAGAGGCUUGAAAUGCUAUGAAGGCAGAGUGGCUCUUCUUCAUGAGAUGAGAUAUGUCAAAGACGGAAAAAAUCUCUGGGAUAAACCAUUUGGGUAAUUCCACCAAGAGGUAGCUCAUUUAGUUCUCCAGAACUAGAGAUGAGUAGCUGGUAGUUUUUGUAGAAUCUUUUGGAAUAUAUGGGGGAAAGGGAUGUUGCUAAGUGGGCUUUGUCUAAUAUCCCCCCGAGGAUAUUGCUAGAGCCCGAUUGAAGAGUGAAUUAAAUUCCACUCUGAUGCAGACUUUCCCCAUUGCCCAAGAUACCAAAAAGGAAGCUUCUGGAAUUGUGUAUGGGUGUUCUUAUCCCUGGGGGAAAAUCAAGGAUCUUGGUACCCCUAAUUCUUUAUGGAAAUGUUUAAGAUUAUUUUAAUUUUAUUACAAGUAUUACUAGAGUAGUGGUUCUGCUCUAAGAUUUCAAAAGUGCUUUUAGAAUCAUAAAUGUUUCUGACUCCACAUAUAUUGUUACUUCGGUGGAGAAAAAAACAGUAUAUUCUACAUGAGAAAUAUUAAAGAUAUUAACUAAGAGAAAUGUUCUACUUUGUUAUCUUAACAUUAGUCAUCCAGAGAUUUAUUAUUUUUUGAAAACUAUAUUUAACCAUUGAAAAAUCUGUACAGUAUAUCACAAAAAUCUUCAUAGACUAUAAACAGAUGGAAGAGGAGUUCUAUUGAUUUGUCUACUGAGGCUUAAUGAGAAUUCUAUGCUUUAGAACAUGAGUGAUGGAAAUCCGGAAUUCUUGGUUCUGUAUUUAUAAUUUUGGAGGUUUCAUGGAGAAUACUCAAAAAAUCUAGGGGAGAAAAAAGUCUAAAUUCGUAAUUAUAAAAUAUAUAUUUAUAUUGAAAAGAUAGAGGCCAGCAAAGUUGAACUUAUAAUUUGACAUUUGUUUUUUAGUGUUAUUUAUUUCAUAACUUAUAAAAUAUUUAAUAUAUAUAUACACACACAUUUUUUUCUCUGUACAUAGUGGUUUUAAUAGCAGCUUUCAGAACUGAUCAUACAAAAAUUACAAAUCUGAAUUACAAAGUAAAGUUUUAACAGCCCCUCAAAAAAUUUGUAUUGAUUAUUCACUUGCUAAAGCUAAAGAAAUUAGGAAGCAGACGUCAGUGUUUGGGUGGUAAUAUAUUUUGGAAGUGAAGAAGUUGGAACACCUGAUUCUAAUUUGGUCAUCAUCAUAAAUUUAAAAAAAAGGAAGAAGAAGAAGAACCACUCUGGGGAGUGCUGUUUGCAGGCUAAGCCAGGUGGCCUGCAGAUGUAAUAGCCUGAAGGCGUUCGGAUUGCACGUCCUCAGGCCAGGGCAGGGUAAAAAGCGUGCUUCUUUUCAACACUGCUCCUCUGUGUUAUUUUUUUGUCAAGGUAAGUCUAGUUAAAAGAACUUCUCUAGAAAGGGAUGAUGCAAGGAAUAUUUUGAAUGCAAAGGAUUCCAGAAUUUGAAUUAGCACACAUGUGUUUGUGUGCAUCAAUAAUCCAACAAUGUAGGUAUUGCCACUACGAUCUUCUGUUUCUAAUAGUCUUUUAACCGUAUAGAUCAUAAAUUUAUCCAAACUUUUGCUUAAAAUAUUUUCAUUCUCCUCAAAAUUAUAGUUUUAUGGUCCUAAGGCCAAGAAAUGUACUACAGUGUUCCUUUUAAAUGAUCAGUCUACCCCCAAAUUGGAAAAAACAAACACACAAACAUGAAUCCCUAGCUAAAAACAGUAUCUGAGACUUUAAUCACAACUUUUUAGAAUAAUCUGUAACCAAAACUCCCACUUAGGAAGUUAAUGGAAAAGACUAAGCCCCAAAUUUUGAAAAGCAAUUAUGCCUUACUUGAAGUGCUGCUAAAGGUAUGAGGGUACAUUAGUGGGAAUGGUUGAAAUGGCGGUUACAGCCCAAAAGUUCCUGAGGGAAGGGGUCACAUGGCCUUCAGGAGACUUGAUCUACCUUCUUUUGGGUGCUUUUCUCUCUCCCCACGUCCUUCUGUCUGUACGUCUCUCUCUCCCUCCCUCCCUUCUCCCCACCCCCCUCAACCUCCCUUCAUUCUGACCCUCCCCCUCCCUUCUCACUGUAGCUCUAGCUCCUUCUGUGAGCCCCUGGCAUCUCUUUGAACAUGCAAAGUAAACACUUUGUUGGGUCAGAUAUUUUUAUCCUGAUUUAAUAAUGUCACUGAGAUGUAGCCAAUGAAAUAGUUCUCAUAGUUAAAUGGUGCCUAUAAGAAAAUAAAUCACAUAUUAUUUUUCAAAGAUAUUAAGUGUAUUUUAUAACUAUUUUUAUUUGGUUCUUGUAACAUGAAAUAAUAUGUGGAAUUCAUUCUUAUCAGUAAAAACAGAGUGCCCUGGCUAGUUGUGGAGAUAUAUCCACAUUCCCCUAAUAAAAGUGUGCUUGGCAAGAGAGCUGAUGGCCCCUUUCUGACAUGGAAUCGCAGAGCCAGCUUCAUGGGUUUUCAGUUCAUGUGGUCCUGCACUCAGAAGCCCCCUAUGCUUGGCUGAAGGCUCUGCUUGAAAGUCUUAAUAAUUUUUGAAUGAGGGGUCCUGCAAAUCUGUUUGCACUGAAUCCUUAAAUAUAUAGGGUGUCCUCAGUACGAGGGAAGUUGGCCGAGGGCAAGACAGGAGUUGCUUUAGUCUGGCUGAACCCUUGAUCCAAUGAUCAAGAGUUUCAUUUGUGACUCUGUUCCUCCGAGAACACUUGCUUUAUUUUCUUGGCUACAUUUAGAGUUCCUUGUGUAUAUAUAUCCCCCACUUACUGCCAGUCUAUCUAAACUGUCCUUCUGUCCUACCUAGAACCAGCCCUCCUUGCCUUUAAAAUUCCCAGUAAGUGGCAGUCCUUUGACAUAGGAGCCAUGAGAUUGGCUUUACAAGUUUAUUUCAACCUUAAGAAUUCUUCAGGAUUUUUUUUAAGUGAUACAGAUGUUUUCAGUCUGUUAAUGGUAUUCACAAAACACAGUUCAGCGAUGUAACAUAGGUAAACUAAACCAAAGAUUCAAAUACCUUGGAGGAAAAGAAAUUUUAUUUUAGGGAAUCCUGAGAUAUAUUCUUUUGGGUCUGUUUUAAAGUUCACCACAAAACAAAGAGGAUCGCCAGCACUUUAAUUACAACAUCCUAUAGUACAUCACAGCCCCUAGCAGGAGACUGUGACAUUCGUCACAGGUCAUACCUCACUUGAUGCAGGGGUUUGUAGUGGUUGCACAAUGCUUUUCAACAAGACUAAAUGAGAAAAUCCAAACUGUUCUAUACAAACCGACCUGCAGAAACUAUCAUUUUAGGGGGAAUAAAAAUAAAUGUGUGGUUUCUUAUUGUCUCUACUAAACAUUCCAGGCCCCAUAGAUCAAAGAGCCACAUUCAGCUGAUAGUUGAGAACUGUUCCUUCACACACAGGGGCUCUCAAGCCUGGCUGGACUGCGUAAUCCCCUGGGGCCCUUUGACAGUCUCCGAGGUGCUGGCCGCCCAGGUUCAGAUGCUAAUAUGCAGCGAGGCUGGAGAACCACUUGCAGGCUAACAACUUCACUGGAACUUUUAUGAGUUUUAUAAUCUUCCUUGAGUUUUACUUUUAAAUCUAGACUAAAAUGAGCCAGAGAAUUCUAAAAAAUAAUUUAUGGCACAGAUGACUGGCUGAGACUAUUGUUUCAAGAAUGACAGACAGGUGGGUUGGGUGGGGUGUUUUGCACUGGUGGCAAUUGGACUAUAAUUUGACCUUACAUUUUCCGAAUUCUUGGUUCUCAGAGGGAGAGGAAUUACCAUUUGUAUACACCAGACAAGGCUCCCAGUAUGUAAAACUCACGGUGUGCAUGGCAUAGAGUGUAUGCCUAAAACUUAGGUCUCUGUUUUGAUUACACACAUGUCAAUUUUUGCUAAUUAUUUCUUAUUGUACUCAUUUUUAGAAUCUGUUUUUGAGGGAAAAAUGGAAACCUUUGAUCUGAUGUGUGAAGGAUUUGCAUCUUAGAUUAAUAAAUCUAUAGGGUAUUAGUAACAACAAUCAAAGCAAAUGUAGUUAUGGGUGGUUGGUUGGUUUUUAAUUUUUCACCUAGUUUCCAAAUCACAUUUACUUUGAUUAAAUUGCAUGUUGGUAUUUCACAAUAAUAGGAAAACAUAACUAUCUGACAUCUUUUGGCAUUUUAAAAGAAUAAAUACCUGUCAAAUCUUGCAUUUAGGCUGCAAUUGAGUGAGAUAAAAGCUUACAAUGCCAAAUAUAUAUAUGGACACAUUAUAACUUCUUAUGAUUAUUCUUGAAGUUUUGAUGUAAAAGAAAAAUACGUUGAACAGUUCUUCAAAAAAUAACACUUCCUUCAUUAUUUUUGUUUUUAGUAGCCAUUAACUUAAAGAGAAUAAAAUAACUGCAAUCAAAGGAGAGCUUUAAUAUCAGCAAAAUAAAGUGACAACAGAAUUGAUGAUUUUCCUGUCUAUCAAAUGGCUCAUAUAAAAAUGUGCUAUUUUGAUCACCAAAGAUCCUUUCAGUUAAAACCUUUUAGGGUGUGUAGCUCAUAAAAUCAGCAUCCAUCAUGAUAAUGGUCAUUAUAAGUUCGUAAGUUUAGAUCAUCAUUUACCCCAAAAUGGAAAGUUAUGUCAAUGUCCAGAAACCCAGUAGUUUCUUCCCAUUCUCGGUGGUGCAGAUGGUGUAUGUUUAUGUCACGUUUGGAAGUUUCCAAUGUGCAUAACAUCCUUUUGGGGUUUCCUUGCUGGCCCAGAGGAGGGGUGCGCCAGUCCCAGAAUCAGGAAAUCUGGGUGGUAGGCCUGUUCGGCCGCGGAGGAGCCGCCUCACCUUGGGAAGGUUACCAACUGUCUCAGCCAUAUCUGAAACCAGAUUGAAAGCCCUCUACCUCUGAAGAGGUAACUGGUUAGCGUUGCCCUUAGUUUUCCAAAUUUAAGAUAAUCACCCCACAAAACACAUAAUACAACCAUAAAAGUGACUGCACUGUCCAAGUGCUUUAAUAUGGCAGAGAGAAUUAUUCUUAUUUUGCAGUCUGUACACAUAAAAACUGGUCAUUUUGUUAUGUGUCUGCGGGGAAAAUAGUUUUUCAAAUUUCCUCCGAAGGAAUUAAAAUAUCUGUAGAAGCCAUGGCUUGCUUUUAUAAUGUGGAAACCAUCUGACUUGCUGUGACUCACGCGGAUCCCUCCUUUUAUCAGGGAGAAAAUGACUUGCGUCAUGUUCUUUGUUCAUGUUUUUAUUUUCUCGUUUGACCGGUUGUAUAUAAAUGUAUGUUUUUGUUACUUUUGCUGUGCCAGUUAGAAAUUUCUCCCAUUUAAGUCUGAUUAUGUAUGCUUUGCCUAGGUCUUUCCAAAAUAAAAUUUAUGUAAAUGUUUAUUUUAUAUAAAAUAUAAUGAAAA
Leptonychotes weddellii (Weddell seal) is the source of this 5907-nucleotide non-coding RNA. Lineage: Eukaryota; Metazoa; Chordata; Mammalia; Carnivora; Phocidae. The record is from RefSeq and is a predicted model, not a curated record.